GUUUUAGUCAAAACAUGAAGUCUGCAGUUGUGUUUAUCGCUGUGUUGCUGCUGCUAGUUUCUUUGGAAUGGUGCUCAUCGCCUGUACACGUAGAAGCUUGUUGUUGGGGCAAGAAGAAAACUAAAACCGGUAAAGACAAAGCCGUGGUUACCGGUAAUGCACAGUUAGAGAAAGAGACACCGGCCGAGAUUUCAAAAGGAGGAUCAAAAUGAGUACCUUAAUGCUGAAUGGUCUUGACCUGAUCUGCAGAAAUGAUUAUUGAAAACUAAAUUAUUAAUAAAUAUUCAUGCAUUUGA
This is a long non-coding RNA of Saccostrea cuccullata (small rock oyster), 296 nucleotides long. RefSeq lists it as uncharacterized. NCBI's taxonomy places the organism in Eukaryota, Metazoa, Mollusca, Bivalvia, Ostreida, Ostreidae. The record is from RefSeq and is a predicted model, not a curated record. The transcript has 3 exons.